GAUGAACGCUAGCUACAGGCUUAACACAUGCAAGUCGAGGGACCGGCGCACGGGUGAGUAACACGUAUCCAACCUGCCCUUUACUCGGGGAUAGCCUUUCGCAAGAAAGAUUAAUACCCGAUAUAAAGGAUGGGGAUGCGUUCCAUUAGGUUGUUGGUGAGGUAACGGCCCACCAAGCCUUCGAUGGUUAGGGGUUCGUAGAGGAAGGUCCCCCGAAUCGGAACGUGGCCCCGGUCCAAACUCCUACGGGAGGCAGCAGUGAGGAAUAUUGGUCAAGGGGCGGUAGCCUGAACCAGCCACGUAGCGUGAAGGAUUAAGGCUUAUGGGUCGUAAACUUCUUUUAUAUAAGAAUAUGUAUUAUAUGAAUAAGGAGCGGCUAACUCCGUGCCAGCAGCCGCGGUAAUAC
This 406-nucleotide ribosomal RNA is filed under the name uncultured bacterium. RNAcentral's name for it is "partial 16S ribosomal RNA". It matches the Rfam family "Bacterial small subunit ribosomal RNA", at positions 28 to 526 of the family's 1533-position model. The record is from RNAcentral.